This 339-nucleotide long non-coding RNA is filed under the name Physcomitrium patens. RNAcentral describes it as "long non-coding RNA (PPAT_LNC013366)". Lineage: Eukaryota; Viridiplantae; Streptophyta; Bryopsida; Funariales; Funariaceae. The record is from RNAcentral.
CUUUGAAUUGGCCUUCAAAGAUAUUCCAAUAGGCUUGCAUUAAUCCAUAUUAAUUUUUUUCAAUACUUCUUUACUAUACUUACUUUGGUUUAUUGUAAUGGUCUUGUUACCAUGAUCUUUUAUAAAUUCUAUUUCUAAAUAAUAAUGGAGUUUUUUUAAAUCAUUCAUUUCAUAUUUAUUUUUUAAAAUUUUUCCUUCAAUCAAUCCAUCUUCUUCAUAGUAUUAGUCAAUAUGAUUAAAUAAUCAACAUAAAGGAUGAUAAUUAAUAUAAACGCAUUUAAUUGCAUUACAUAUAACAAAUGAUCAACCUCACUCUUUACAAAUCCUUCAUUUAUAAAA